CCUACGGGAGGCAGCAGUGGGGAAUCUUGCGCAAUGGGCGAAAGCCUGACGCAGCAACGCCGCGUGCGGGAUGAAGGCCUUCGGGUUGUAAACCGCUUUCAGUGGGGACGAAUUCAGACGGUACCCACAGAAGAAGCCCCGGCCAACUACGUGCCAGCAGCCGCGGUAACACGUAGGGGGCGAGCGUUGUCCGGAAUCAUUGGGCGUAAAGAGCUCGUAGGCGGCUCAGUAAGUCGGGUGUGAAACCCUCAGGCUCAACCUGGGGACGCCACCCGAUACUGCUGUGGCUAGAGUCCAGUAGGGGAGUGUGGAAUUCCCGGUGUAGCGGUGAAAUGCGCAGAUAUCGGGAGGAACACCAGCGGCGAAGGCGGCACUCUGGGCUGGAACUGACGCUGAGGAGCGAAAGCGUGGGUAGCAAACAGGAUUAGAUACCCUAGUAG
This 440-nucleotide ribosomal RNA is filed under the name uncultured bacterium. Its description in RNAcentral is "bacterial SSU rRNA". It matches the Rfam family "Bacterial small subunit ribosomal RNA", at positions 338 to 793 of the family's 1533-position model. The record is from RNAcentral.